This 347-nucleotide ribosomal RNA is filed under the name uncultured bacterium. RNAcentral's name for it is "partial 16S ribosomal RNA". It matches the Rfam family "Bacterial small subunit ribosomal RNA", at positions 338 to 682 of the family's 1533-position model. The record is from RNAcentral.
CCUACGGGAGGCAGCAGUGAGGAAUAGUGGUCAAUGGCCGGAAGGCUGAACCAGCCAUGCCGCGUGAAGGGCAGGGGCCUAGGGGCGUUAAACUUCUGUUGUGCGGGAGCAAGAAUGGGCACGGGUGGCCAGACGAGAGUACCGUACGAAGAAGCAACGGCGAACUCCGGGCCAGCAGCCGCGGGAAUACGGGGGAUGCAAGCGUUAUCCGGAUUUAGUGGGUUUAAAGGGGGCGUAGGCUGGGAGGUAAGUCAGCGGGGAAAGGCCCCCGCUCCACUGGGGGAAGUGCCAUUGAUACUGCCUUGCUGGACUUCGUCUGCCGUGGGAGGAAUGUGUGGUGUAGCGGU